Molecule: ribosomal RNA, 450 nt
Filed under: uncultured bacterium
Lineage: Bacteria
Description: bacterial SSU rRNA
Rfam family: Bacterial small subunit ribosomal RNA
Source: RNAcentral
UGGGGAAUUGUUCGCAAUGGGCGCAAGCCUGACGACGCAACGCCGCGUGGAGGAUGAAGACCUUCGGGUCGUAAACUCCUUUCGACCGAGAUGAAUUCCCGCCGACCUAACACAUCGGCGGGUUGACAGUAUCGAGGGAAGCAGCCCCGGCUAACUCCGUGCCAGCAGCCGCGGUAAUACGGGGGGGGCAAGCGUUGUUCGGAAUUACUGGGCGUAAAGGGUUCGUAGGUGGCUCGCUAAGUCAGACGUGAAAUCCCUCAGCUUAACUGGGGAACUGCGUCUGAGACUGGCAAGCUCGAGUGCAGGAGAGGAACGCGGAAUUCCAGGUGUAGCGGUGAAAUGCGUAGAUAUCUGGAGGAACACCGGUGGCGAAGGCGGCGUUCUGGACUGCAACUGACACUGAUGAACGAAAGCCAGGGGAGCAAACGGGAUUAGAUACCCCUGUAGUCC